GGCGGUUCUUGGGUGAUGCACCCUGGAAUCGGGCUCCUUCCUCUCUGGCUCCAGGUGCAACACCUGAGAACCGCA
Non-coding RNA from Myotis lucifugus (little brown bat), 75 nucleotides. Lineage: Eukaryota; Metazoa; Chordata; Mammalia; Chiroptera; Vespertilionidae. The record is from Rfam.